UCUCUCGUGGUGUAGAGGUAACGCGCCCUGUCUAAUAAACAGGGAAUCAUGGGUUCGAUUCUCACCGAGAAGA
This is a non-coding RNA of Aedes aegypti (yellow fever mosquito), 73 nucleotides long. The record is from Rfam. Lineage: Eukaryota; Metazoa; Arthropoda; Insecta; Diptera; Culicidae.